RNAcentral lists this transfer RNA (73 nucleotides) under Candidatus Epulonipiscium sp. Its description in RNAcentral is "tRNA-Thr". It matches the Rfam family "tRNA". Rfam says of the family: Transfer RNA (tRNA) molecules are approximately 80 nucleotides in length. Lineage: Bacteria; Bacillati; Bacillota; Clostridia; Lachnospirales; Lachnospiraceae. The record is from RNAcentral.
GCUCUCGUAGCUCAGUAGGUAGAGUGCCACCUUGGUAAGGUGGAGGUCGUCGGUUCAAUCCCGAUCGAGAGCU